GUGCACCUUUGCCCGUAACGCUGCACGAUUAGAUGAGUCUUGGCCUCCGUGGUGUGCUUUCGCCCGAGAAGAAUUUCGGAAGCUGUGAACAUCAUGGAAACCGUGAAAGCGAAGCGCAAGGAUAACCAAGAAUCGAUGAAGGUUGAAAAGCAGUACGUCGCAACAGAUACUGAAAAACCGGAGGCGGCAGGUUGGGCGGGCUGGAGGACCGCGUGAUUAAUGUUUUGAGCCAGACCGCCCCAGGCUACGCGUCGGUGGAUUUUUUCGCGGA
Long non-coding RNA from Dermacentor silvarum, 271 nucleotides. RefSeq lists it as uncharacterized. The transcript is spliced from 3 exons. The record is from RefSeq and is a predicted model, not a curated record. Lineage: Eukaryota; Metazoa; Arthropoda; Arachnida; Ixodida; Ixodidae.